Neofelis nebulosa (Clouded leopard) is the source of this 3384-nucleotide long non-coding RNA. RefSeq lists it as uncharacterized. Lineage: Eukaryota; Metazoa; Chordata; Mammalia; Carnivora; Felidae. The transcript has 2 exons. The record is from RefSeq and is a predicted model, not a curated record.
ACAAAGGGGAGUCAGCCACUGGGGAGGGCAGACCCAAGCCUCCGCGCAGGGCGAGGGCCAGGGGUACCCCGUCUGAGGGAUGACAGGAGCCAAACUUGGAGCCCCCUCCUUUCCUGACCUGGUGCGGGGACCCCCUUCUCUGCAGAAAGUGCUGUCUUGGGGCCUGGGGGCAGGGGUGGGGUGGGCACGAGGGCACGGAAUCCGGAUGGUUCUGGAGUUCCAGGUCUGCUCCUCACUGGCUGUGUGACUUGGGCAUCCCGCUCCCAGGCACUUAGGCUGAGAAAUCAGGGUAUACGUUCACAUGAAGACUUGUACGCCAGUGUUCACAGACGCUUCAUUUGACGUAGCUUCACGCGGACGACAAGUCAAAUGGAUGAGCUGCUUACGCGUCAGGUGAGUGGGAAGCCAACAGUGGGAAGUUCGUACAGUGGGGUGCCAGCCAGCACCGAAGCAGGGUGCGUCCUUGUGCACAAGGACAGCACGGAGGAAAGAGUCCUGGUGGCCGCCAGGCCGGGGCCGCUGUCCCUCCCCGGCAUCUCCACCGUUUGCUCAGCACCACUGCCCCGUCCACCCCACCGCCAGGUCCUGCCCGCGCAGCCUCCAGGCUUUGCAGCGUGUUCCUCCUCGCGGCGCAGCCUCCACUUGCUCCGGGCGAGGCUCGCCCUCGUGUCCCCCCUGGGUUGCCCAGGGGCUCUGAGUACCUGCACCCCCCUCUCAGAUCCGCCCCACGGCUCACUCCCUUCCUCCGGGGUUUUCCGCAGGCCUCCUUUACUGCAAAGAACAGAGAUUGCCCUGAGCUGCCUCCAGUGAUGAAACACGUUCAAAGGGAAGGAUGAUGUCGGUUACGCCAGGAUGCUCGAAAACCCUCACCCUUGCCCCACCCGUCCUCACCUCCGCUUUCCUUCCUCUGCUGCAGCAGGCAGCACGGAAGAGUAGAGCCAGGGGCGCCCAGCGGGCUCAGGGUACAGCGUGCGGCACUUAACCUCAGGGUAGUGAGUUCCAGCCCCGUGCUCGUCGUGGAGCCCAGUUAAAAUUAAGAAAGAAAGAGUAGGUCCAGAGGUGCGAUUUUAGAGUUUGAGCAGACCCGACUGGACUCGGGAAAUAACGGGAAGACGCUACGGCCUUCAGGAAGCAAUGUUUAUUCUUUCACUUUUCAUGUGGUUCCUGCUGCUGCAUCUCUGCACGGACCAGUUCCUCUGCCUGGUCAGAGCCCAACGCAGUCCCCUGCGCCCUGACACAGCACAAGUGACAACCUUUCACAACCACAGUUCUCUGGGUCCAAAAAUCCUCGGGAAAGACUGUCUUCUCUUUCCUUAUUAAAAAAAAAAAAAAAAAUUUUAGGGGCACCUGGGUGGCUCAGUGGGUUGAGUUUCGGACUUUGGCUCGGGUCACGACCUCGCGGUUCAUGGGUUGAGCCCCGCGUCGGGCUCUGUGCCGACAGCUCAGAGCCUGGAGCCUGCUUCGGAUUCUGGGUCUCCCUCUCUCUCUGCCCCUCCCGCGCUUGCACCUUGUCUCUCUCUCUCUCAUAAAUAGACAUUAAAAUUUUUUAAAAAACAAUUUUUAAGGGGCGCCCGGGUGGCUCAGUCGGUUGAGCAUGUCUGACUUCCGCUCAGGUCAUGAUCUCACGGCUUCGUGAGUUCAAGUCCUGCAUCGGGCUUCAUGCUGAUGGUGCAGAGCCUGCUUGGGAUUCUCUCUCUCUCCCUCUCUCUCUGCCCCUUCCCCCGCUCGCACCUUGUCUCUCUCUCUCUCAUAAAUAAAUAAACUUCGGAAAAUUAAAAAAAAAAAAGAGCUUUUAAAAAAAGUUUAUUUAUUUAUUGAGAGAGAGUGCCCUCUGCCAGCGCAGAGCCUGAUGCGGGUGAGAUUGUGACCCAAACCAAGAUCAAGAGUUGGAAGCCUAACCAGCUAAGCCACCCAAGUGCCCCCCCUCCCCCCCACUAAACCAAGAAUGUUCUUUAAAAACAAGAGCAUUCUUAUGUAACCUCAGUGCGAUGAUCAAAAUCAACAAAGUAACAAUGCUACAAUAUUAUCUAGUCUAGAAACCUCACCGAGAUGCUGCUAAAUGUCCCCUGUAACAUCUUUUAUAACAAAAGAAAGCUCAGACGUGAGUAACAUUCAGUUCUCAUCUCCUUGCAGUCGCCUUGAAUCGGGAACAGUUCCUCAGGUUUUGUAUUUCAUGACAUUUUUAAAUGUUACAUAUUUUUAAAGAGUAAAAGUUAUUUGUGUAACAUCCCUUGGUUUGGGUUUGUCUGAUAUUUCCCACGAUUAGGCUCAUGUAUUUUUAAGGAGUAAAGUUUAGUUGUAUAACGUUUCUCAACUUGGGUUUGUCUACUAUUUCCUUAUGCUUGGACUCGGGCUAUAACAUUUUUGGCACUGUGUUCAUUUAAGAGCAUCCCUCAGGAGGUGCGUGCCACCUGUCGCUCGUGACGGAAGUUAACAUCUUCCAUCACCGAGUUAAGGUGGUAUCUGUGAGGUUUCUCCCCUAGGAAGGUACCAUUCUCCCCCUGCCUUUUUUUUAAAGUUUAUUUAUUUAUUUUGAGAGAAAGAGAGAAAGAGAAAGGGAGAGAGAGAGCAGGGGAAGGGCAGAGAGAGAGGGAGACAGAGAGUUCUAGGCAGGCUCCAGGCUCCGAGCUGUCAGUACAGAGCCCAGCGCGGGGCUCGAACUCGCGAACCGGAACAUCAGGAUCUGAGGCGAAACCAAGACUGGGAUGCUUGACCGACUGAGCCACCCAGGUGCCCCCGAGUUCUUCCUUUUGUAACUAAUGAAUAAAUGUCUUGUGAGGAGCUGCUCUGCGACCAUGUGACUGUCCUGUUACUCCUCUUACUUUGACCCACUGUCUUUAGGAUCCAUUGCUGAUUCCUGCCUGCAUCACUUAUCACUAAAACAGCUGCCAAACGGUGAUUUUGAGGAUGUUAAAGCCAUAGCCUUUUCCUGACAGGUGUUAUUUCUCUAGGACACUUAGUCCUGUAGGACUUUGUUGCCCGGCAGGAACGCACGCCAGAAUUUUGCCCAUCCCCCGCUCUGCUGCUCAGGACUCUGAGGAGACCUGCAUCUGAGAAGGACCAUUACAGAUUACGGAUCACCUCCAAGCCCACUGGUUGUAACCCUGGGAAAGGUCACGAUCUGGUGGGGCAGUGCUGCUCUGAGGUGUGUGUGAUAAGCCGAGAUGUCAGGGGUUUCCCUGCUUCCUCGGGCUCCCCCAGAAAUCCACACUCGGUGGUCAGGAGCCUCGUUGUGGCCAAUCAGUGCAUUAGCUUCAGUCACAAAUACUUAGUAUGGCAAGGAAUUCGGUGUGGACUAGAAUUUGAGGAGAAAAGGAUUAAUUUCCCUGGAUCUGACCGUAAGUACUUUCAGAAGACAGGAAUAAAGAGUUUUCUCUAACGGGA